This is a long non-coding RNA of Mastomys coucha (southern multimammate mouse), 420 nucleotides long. RefSeq lists it as uncharacterized. The record is from RefSeq and is a predicted model, not a curated record. The transcript has 2 exons. NCBI's taxonomy places the organism in Eukaryota, Metazoa, Chordata, Mammalia, Rodentia, Muridae.
GCGUCAGGAAGAGAUAAAAUGUUGGAGAAAAUAAAGGUGACUUACAAAUACUCCGUGUGAUGACACUGUUCUGGAACAGUUAAAUCUGUCAGUAGUUAUGGGAAGCCGUGAAUCAUGAGAAGAGUGCUUCAGGACUGAGGGCAGCUGAUACUACUCAACAAACUGUGGCUAACAGCACUCAAAAAAGCAACCAGUAGCAACCAGCCACCAACCAAGAGCCCACCAACUGCUUGGAGACCUAGCAUUUAUAUACCCUCUGGAAGGUAUCCAGAUGUCCAAAUGUCAAAUAAUCACAAAAACUAUAUAUUGCUAGCAAAAUCCACCCUUCUAGAGCACGAGUUAAGUCAUUGUCAGCUGCUGUGGACAAUCUGAAGCAGCCCCGUAUUCCACUCUUCGUAUUAAAAACAUAUUUUCAUACUG